This 3056-nucleotide long non-coding RNA is filed under the name Sus scrofa (pig). Its description in RNAcentral is "lncRNA (ENSSSCG00000057660.1)". The record is from RNAcentral. Lineage: Eukaryota; Metazoa; Chordata; Mammalia; Artiodactyla; Suidae.
UUUUUUUAUUAUAGUUGAUUUACAAAGUUCUGUCAAUUCCUGCUGUACCACAUUGGUAUUAUUGUUCACUGUGAUUCUUGUCUCUGAAGAUGUUCCUGGUGCUUUGAAAAAGCAGCCGUGUCUCCCUGCCUCCGUUGCCCUUUCCUUCUGCCUGGCUGACCUGCAGGCACAGCCUGAAGGCCACUGGAAAGAUACAGGCAUAUCCGCAAAUACUAAAUGUGCGUAAGGACCUGGGACACUUUGAAGAAAGUAACGCUGCUUUUAAGCAGUGAGGAUGCUCGAUAUUUUCCAUGUUGGUUUUUUUCCCCGCAGAUUGAAAUUCUGGAGAACAGUUUCUUUCUGGUGACUUGUCUUAACACAACCAAACAGCUUUGUAAUGCUAACCUGACAUGGGCCUUGCUGGGCUUAGUCAUCUUUCAAGAGCUGCACAGAAGCGAGAACCUUAUAGAAAGGCACGGGGUAGCCUGAGGUGCCAGAGCUUAGUGUAAUUCCACAGUGAGAAGUGCGUGCAAAUGCUCUUUGCAGGGAACAAGGAUGAACUCCUACCCUUGAUACUCUUCAGCUGCGUCAAUUGCCUUUCUGUCUCUCCCAUCACUUUAAAUGUAAUGGGUCCUGCUAGAUUUCCAGAUACAGAGGAUUUCUGAAGGAAGCAGCCUGGCCAACUCCAACUUGACCCUGCUAACUCCCAGGUACCACCAUAGGAUCAAUUGUUGUUUUGUUUUGUUUUUGUCUUUUGUAUUUUUAGGGCCGUACUGGUGGCAUAUGGAGGUUCCCAGGCUAGGGGUCGAAUCAGAGCUACAGCUGCCAGCCGGCCUACGUCACAGCCACAGCAACGCCAGAUCCAAGCCGCCUCUCCGACCUACACCACAGCUUGUGGCAAUGCCAGAUCCUUAACCCACUCAGUGAGGCCAGGGAUCGAACCCUCAACGUCAUGGUUCCUAGACGGAUUCAUUUCUGCUGCGCCAGGACAGGAACUCCCAGAUCAAUCUGAAAUACAGUGCUUUUAGAGUUUCCUGGUGGCUCAGCAGGUUAAGGACCUGGUGUUGUCCCUGCUGUGGCUUUGACCCCUGGACCAGGAAAUUCUGCUUGCUUCAGGUGUGGUCCAAAAGAAUGGGAUGCUUUAGAAAUUUAUAAUAAGAAACAGGUGGAUUUGUUUCAACUGGGAAAUAACUCUGUAUGCAUGGAAUUUAAAAUGUGAGCAUCACAGAAUCAUUUUCCAUCUAAUGAAUUAGCAUCAGAAAAAGCAGUCUAAGCUGAAGGGGGAAAAAAAUCAACAGUCAGGACCUCUUCUGGCAUGUGGAUAGAGCCCUGUCCUUAAAAGGAGGGCUACACAGGCUUCAUUUGUCACGAAUCCAUCUCCUUAGAUGCACAGUCUUUAAUUAGUUUUCCCCAAACAUAAACCACCUGUCAUGAUCAUUUAAAUAAAAUGGAAGCAUUUGAUUUUGCCAUAGAGUUACUUUACCUUAAUUCCCUUACUCCUCUUCUGUAGAAUGGAAGAAAAGGGGGGGGGGACCUUUCCUGGAAAAAUGUCUGAAUGGAACCACUCCCCUGGGUGUAUGUAGGAAUAUGGGCAGAGAGGGUCUCAUGGCUCAUGGGGCAGAAAUGCUCAACUCUGGACUCAUGAAACCUCCAGGCACCAUUUUCAGCAUUUGUAAGAGAGUGAAAUUAAAGCCUGUUUCCAACACAAGCCUUUGGAAGCAGGACAUCACUGAAUACUCCUUCUCCUAUCGCGCUUGCAUUGCUACCUGCCUCUGAGGGAAUGAAGCUUGCUGGUGGUAAGCUCCAUAUGAGCAAUAAUGACCAGCCACGUCACCAUACCAUGCCACUUCUCCAUCUCCAAGAGCAUGGUUUGAGGAAAAAGUGGGGCAGGCAUGGGACUGUGUGCUGGGGGUUGUGGAAAGGGCCCUGCCCUUAAAAGGAGGGCUACACAGCCUUAAUUUGUCAUGAACAUGUGUCUCCUUAGAUGAACAGUCUUUAAUUUCUGAAAAUCCCAUCUGUAAAAGCUGAGCCGAGAAUAGCCACGGGUCCUAGCUCUAAGGCUGGGAGCUGCACCUCCACAGGAGCUACACUGCCAGGUUCAUGGAUGGUCCAGGCUGUGAGAGCUUCUGGUUGCCUCUGUUCAGAUGGAAAGAUACGUUGUGUAGAGCUCCGAGGGGGCAGAUGGGGACCAGACUGAGCAGAACCAGCUCUUCCUAUGUACAAAUAUAAACAGAGGUGCCGUGGGGCCUGGGUACCCUGUUCAUGAAUCUUCAGAGCAUCUCCACAUGGUGGACCAGGAAUCUUCUGGAUGUCCCUCAUUAAGGAACCAGCCCAACUUGCUUACCUGCCUCUCACAUGCCUAAGUACAGCUGACUUUGAGUCUUUCGAAUUCAGAAAACAGCCAGGCCAGGGUAGGAGCCAAGCUAACUAGCAUUAUACUAAUUUCAAGUAGACACAGUUUGGUGCACAUAUUUUAGGGUGUGAGCAGGACCGAGGAGCACAUGCUGAAACUUCCUACAUAAAGAAUUCUGUUUAAGUUUCUUAGAUUUGUGCAACUGUCUACAGAAUAUUUAGAAACUGAUGGCACCUCAAUCUGAAUUGCCUGAAGCCGUCAGCUUAACAUUCCAUCCUUAUUUGACAUACUUGAAAAUAAUGACACACACUUGCUAAUUUUCUUUUACUCCUUUGACUGAUUCCAAUGAGCAAAGCUUCAGUUUUGUCCUUCUGCCUCUGUCAUCUGUCUUCUCUUCAUUCCAGAAGGGGAUUCCAUUUUCUCCUUAGAGGAGACUUUCCACUGACUUGUCAAACUUCCCUCAAGUUUUACUUAGAUUAAAAUGCCUAUGGGAGUUCCCAUCGUGGCUCAGUGGUUAACGAAUCUGACUAGGAACCAUGAGGUUGCGGGUUCGAUCCCUGGCCUCACCCAGUGGGUUAAAGAUCCGGAGUUGCCCUGAGCUGUGGUGUAGGUUGCAGACACGGCUCGGAUCCCGUGUUGCCGUGGCUGUGGUGUAGGCUGGUGGCAACAGCUCCGAUUUGACCCCUAGCCUGGGAACCUCCAUAUGCCGCUGGUGCGGCCCUAA